AGUGAACGCUGGCGGCGUGCUUAACACAUGCAAGUCGAACGAGAACGGGCUAUAGCUUGCUAUAGUUGUCAGCUAAGUGGCGCACGGGUGAGUAAUGUAUAGGUAAUAUGCCUCUUACUAAGGGAUAACAAAUGGAAACGUUUGCUAAUACCUUAUACUCCUUAUUAACAGAAGUUAAUAAGUGAAAGAUUUAUUGGUAAGAGAUUAGCCUGUAUUGUAUCAGUUAGUUGGUGGGGUAAUGGCUUACCAAGACUAUGACACAUAACUGGUUUGAGAGGAUGAUCAGUGACACUGGAACUGAGACACGGUCCAGACUCCUACGGGAGGCAGCAGUGGGGAAUAUUGCACAAUGGACGAAAGUCUGAUGCAGCAACGCCGCGUGGAGGAUGACACAUUUCGGUGCGUAAACUCCUUUUAUAUGAGAAGAUAAUGACGGUAUUAUAUGAAUAAGCACCGGCUAACUCCGUGCCAGCCGCCGCGGUAA
This 484-nucleotide ribosomal RNA is filed under the name uncultured bacterium. RNAcentral's name for it is "partial 16S ribosomal RNA". It matches the Rfam family "Bacterial small subunit ribosomal RNA", at positions 29 to 523 of the family's 1533-position model. The record is from RNAcentral.